RNAcentral lists this ribosomal RNA (454 nucleotides) under uncultured bacterium. Its description in RNAcentral is "bacterial SSU rRNA". It matches the Rfam family "Bacterial small subunit ribosomal RNA", at positions 29 to 506 of the family's 1533-position model. The record is from RNAcentral.
GUGAACGCUGGCGGCGUGCUUAACACAUGCAAGUCGAACGAUGAAGUCCCUCGGGAUGGAUUAGUGGCGCACGGGUGAGUAAUGUAUAGGUAACAUGCCCUUAAGAGGGGGAUAACAGAGGGAAACCUUUGCUAAUACCCCAUACACCUUCUAGUCAUAAGAUUAGUUGGAAAAGUUUUCUCGCUUAAGGAUUGGCCUAUAUUGUAUCAGCUAGUUGGUGAGGUAAUGGCUCACCAAGGCUAUGACGCAUAACUGGUCUGAGAGGAUGAUCAGUCACACUGGAACUGAGACACGGUCCAGACUCCUACGGGAGGCAGCAGUGGGGAAUAUUGCACAAUGGACGAAAGUCUGAUGCAGCAACGCCGCGUGGAGGAUGACACUUUUCGGAGCGUAAACUCCUUUUAUAUGGGAAGAUAAUGACGGUACCAUAUGAAUAAGCACCGGCUAACUCCGU